Molecule: ribosomal RNA, 500 nt
Filed under: uncultured bacterium
Lineage: Bacteria
Description: partial 16S ribosomal RNA
Rfam family: Bacterial small subunit ribosomal RNA
Source: RNAcentral
ACUCAAAUGAAUAGACGGGGGCCCGCACAAGCGGUGGAGCAUGUGGUUUAAUACGUCACUAACCGUAGAACCUUACCGGGGCUUGACAUGGAUCGCACCAGGGUGAAAGCCCUGUCCUCGCAAGAGGCGGUCACACAGGUGUUGCAUGGCUGUCGUCAGCUCGUGUCGUGAGAUGUUGGGUUAAGUCCCGCAACGAGCGCAACCCUCACCCCCUGUUGCCAGCGGAUGAUGCCGGGGACUCUGGGGGAACUGCCCGCGCAAGCGGGAGGAAGGCGGGGACGACGUCAAGUCAGCAUGGCCCUUACGCCCCGGGCUACACACAUGCUACAAUGGGCGGCAGACAGAGGGAACCGAGACCGCGAGGUGGAGGCAACCCCACAAAUCCGCCCCCAGUUCGGAUCGGAGGCUGCAACCCGCCUCCGUGAAGCCGGAAUCGCUAGUAACCGCAGGUCAGCGAAACUGCGGUGAAUACGUUCCCGGGCCUUGCACACACCGCCCGU